Molecule: ribosomal RNA, 2431 nt
Filed under: Escherichia coli
Lineage: Bacteria; Pseudomonadati; Pseudomonadota; Gammaproteobacteria; Enterobacterales; Enterobacteriaceae
Description: bacterial LSU rRNA
Rfam family: Bacterial large subunit ribosomal RNA
Source: RNAcentral
AUUGUGAGCUCGAUGAGUAGGGCGGGACACGUGGUAUCCUGUCUGAAUAUGGGGGGACCAUCCUCCAAGGCUAAAUACUCCUGACUGACCGAUAGUGAACCAGUACCGUGAGGGAAAGGCGAAAAGAACCCCGGCGAGGGGAGUGAAAAAGAACCUGAAACCGUGUACGUACAAGCAGUGGGAGCCUCUUAAUGGGGUGACUGCGUACCUUUUGUAUAAUGGGUCAGCGACUUAUAUUCUGUAGCAAGGUUAACCGAAUAGGGGAGCCGAAGGGAAACCGAGUCUUAACUGGGCGUUAAGUUGCAGGGUAUAGACCCGAAACCCGGUGAUCUAGCCAUGGGCAGGUUGAAGGUUGGGUAACACUAACUGGAGGACCGAACCGACUAAUGUUGAAAAAUUAGCGGAUGACUUGUGGCUGGGGGUGAAAGGCCAAUCAAACCGGGAGAUAGCUGGUUCUCCCCGAAAGCUAUUUAGGUAGCGCCUCGUGAAUUCAUCUCCGGGGGUAGAGCACUGUUUCGGCAAGGGGGUCAUCCCGACUUACCAACCCGAUGCAAACUGCGAAUACCGGAGAAUGUUAUCACGGGAGACACACGGCGGGUGCUAACGUCCGUCGUGAAGAGGGAAACAACCCAGACCGCCAGCUAAGGUCCCAAAGUCAUGGUUAAGUGGGAAACGAUGUGGGAAGGCCCAGACAGCCAGGAUGUUGGCUUAGAAGCAGCCAUCAUUUAAAGAAAGCGUAAUAGCUCACUGGUCGAGUCGGCCUGCGCGGAAGAUGUAACGGGGCUAAACCAUGCACCGAAGCUGCGGCAGCGACACUAUGUGUUGUUGGGUAGGGGAGCGUUCUGUAAGCCUGUGAAGGUGGCCUGUGAGGGUUGCUGGAGGUAUCAGAAGUGCGAAUGCUGACAUAAGUAACGAUAAAGCGGGUGAAAAGCCCGCUCGCCGGAAGACCAAGGGUUCCUGUCCAACGUUAAUCGGGGCAGGGUGAGUCGACCCCUAAGGCGAGGCCGAAAGGCGUAGUCGAUGGGAAACAGGUUAAUAUUCCUGUACUUGGUGUUACUGCGAAGGGGGGACGGAGAAGGCUAUGUUGGCCGGGCGACGGUUGUCCCGGUUUAAGCGUGUAGGCUGGUUUUCCAGGCAAAUCCGGAAAACCAAGGCUGAGGCGUGAUGACGAGGCACUACGGUGCUGAAGUGACAAAUGCCCUGCUUCCAGGAAAAGCCUCUAAGCAUCAGGUAACAUCAAAUCGUACCCCAAACCGACACAGGUGGUCAGGUAGAGAAUACCAAGGCGCUUGAGAGAACUCGGGUGAAGGAACUAGGCAAAAUGGUGCCGUAACUUCGGGAGAAGGCACGCUGAUAUGUAGGUGAAGCGACUUGCUCGUGGAGCUGAAAUCAGUCGAAGAUACCAGCUGGCUGCAACUGUUUAUUAAAAACACAGCACUGUGCAAACACGAAAGUGGACGUAUACGGUGUGACGCCUGCCCGGUGCCGGAAGGUUAAUUGAUGGGGUUAGCGGUAACGCGAAGCUCUUGAUCGAAGCCCCGGUAAACGGCGGCCGUAACUAUAACGGUCCUAAGGUAGCGAAAUUCCUUGUCGGGUAAGUUCCGACCUGCACGAAUGGCGUAAUGAUGGCCAGGCUGUCUCCACCCGAGACUCAGUGAAAUUGAACUCGCUGUGAAGAUGCAGUGUACCCGCGGCAAGACGGAAAGACCCCGUGAACCUUUACUAUAGCUUGACACUGAACAUUGAGCCUUGAUGUGUAGGAUAGGUGGGAGGCUUUGAAGUGUGGACGCCAGUCUGCAUGGAGCCGACCUUGAAAUACCACCCUUUAAUGUUUGAUGUUCUAACGUUGGCCCGUAAUCCGGGUUGCGGACAGUGUCUGGUGGGUAGUUUGACUGGGGCGGUCUCCUCCUAAAGAGUAACGGAGGAGCACGAAGGUUGGCUAAUCCUGGUCGGACAUCAGGAGGUUAGUGCAAUGGCAUAAGCCAGCUUGACUGCGAGCGUGACGGCGCGAGCAGGUGCGAAAGCAGGUCAUAGUGAUCCGGUGGUUCUGAAUGGAAGGGCCAUCGCUCAACGGAUAAAAGGUACUCCGGGGAUAACAGGCUGAUACCGCCCAAGAGUUCAUAUCGACGGCGGUGUUUGGCACCUCGAUGUCGGCUCAUCACAUCCUGGGGCUGAAGUAGGUCCCAAGGGUAUGGCUGUUCGCCAUUUAAAGUGGUACGCGAGCUGGGUUUAGAACGUCGUGAGACAGUUCGGUCCCUAUCUGCCGUGGGCGCUGGAGAACUGAGGGGGGCUGCUCCUAGUACGAGAGGACCGGAGUGGACGCAUCACUGGUGUUCGGGUUGUCAUGCCAAUGGCACUGCCCGGUAGCUAAAUGCGGAAGAGAUAAGUGCUGAAAGCAUCUAAGCACGAAACUUGCCCCGAGAUGAGUUCU